UCUUAAUUUCUUGAUAUUUCAAAAUGACAACUUCAAUCUGCUUAUAGAUUCUCUCACGGGAAACUGCAAUAUCGAAAAUAAUGAGCUUAGCAAAAUUAUAAAAGGGAUGCAUCUUUUACCCAAACACUAUAGCUAAAUAUGAUUACGCUUACUAAAAGGGAUAAAAAUGAUGGCAUAAGGUGCAUUCAACGAUCAAAAGUGGAUCAUGAUACACUCUUUGUUGGAAACUGUGAACGGAGUACAUGGCUACAAAUACUGGAAGUGAACUUAACAAUGAUCUGAUGUGUUAGGCUCGAAUAGUAUCUAUAUCUGUUUAUCUAAC
This 322-nucleotide long non-coding RNA is filed under the name Capsicum annuum. RNAcentral's name for it is "long non-coding RNA (CANN_LNC008846)". The record is from RNAcentral. Lineage: Eukaryota; Viridiplantae; Streptophyta; Magnoliopsida; Solanales; Solanaceae.